This 239-nucleotide non-coding RNA is filed under the name Lactobacillus acidophilus. RNAcentral's name for it is "T-box sequence". It matches the Rfam family "T-box leader". From Rfam's summary of the family: Uncharged tRNA acts as the effector for transcription antitermination of genes in the T-box leader family. The record is from RNAcentral. Lineage: Bacteria; Bacillati; Bacillota; Bacilli; Lactobacillales; Lactobacillaceae.
CUAAACAUCUUGAAGAGCUGAGUAGCGAGAAUUUUAUUUUUAAAGAGAGCUAACGUUGUGGUGAAAGUUAGCAAAUAAAACCUGGUGAAUAUGGGCUUGGAACGAUGACUGAUGGUGACAUUUAGCUAUCAGCGGAGUUGUAUCCGUUAACAAUGCAGGCUAUUAUUUGAUAGCUAAUGAGGUUUAUUACGUAAGUGAUAAAUGAAUUAAAGGUGGUAACGCGAGCAUUCGUCCUUUUG